UUUGUGCAUGUGUGUUUCUCAGUAAGAAGAAGAACAACAACAAAAAUGUGGCUGAGAUGGAUUUGUAAUUUUUCACUGUGGCUUUGAAUUGUGGGUGAUAUCAGCACAGCUACAGAAAUUGGGUUUGUCAGUUAAGCCUCCCUCCCUGCUGGCUAAGCAGUAGAGCAUGAAACAUAAACCAUAAAGAAACAAUAGCAGGUCUCAGGGGUUAUUUGUUAUUGUUUUCCAAAUACAUCUUAGUGACAGAAUGGAAAAUGGUCAACUGGGAAUCUAAACUCAUCAAGGCCAAGAUUCUCGUCAAGGCCAAGCUAAUUUCAUAAGCCCUCUUCAAGGAUUCCAAGAAGAAUUUUUGUGCAGAUAUGAGCUAGGUUCCAUCCUGUCUUAUUCAGAGUUGAGAAGUCAGGUGUACCCCUGUCUUCAGGAUGCACACCUUCUCCUUCUCCUUCACACAAGAACUGCCCUGCCUCUGCAAAGAACAGUUGCCCAGGGCUUUGCCUGACUCAAAGUGUGUUUAACUGGGGAGGGGUAUAAAAAGACUGAUUGUAACUACAGAUCAGGCCACGUUUUCUAAUCUGGUUUUACUGGAAUAAAGCUGACAUUUUGUUCUCCAUCAA
Long non-coding RNA from Sapajus apella (tufted capuchin), 614 nucleotides. RefSeq lists it as uncharacterized. Lineage: Eukaryota; Metazoa; Chordata; Mammalia; Primates; Cebidae. The transcript has 2 exons. The record is from RefSeq and is a predicted model, not a curated record.